AUGGGAAUGAGGUUCUCCCUUAGUAUGAAAUACUAAAACCGCUUUUUAUAGCUGAUGACUUCUGCGAUU
This 69-nucleotide non-coding RNA is filed under the name uncultured Agathobacter sp. RNAcentral describes it as "Fluoride riboswitch". It matches the Rfam family "Fluoride riboswitch aptamer (crcB RNA motif)", at positions 10 to 62 of the family's 64-position model. Lineage: Bacteria; Bacillati; Bacillota; Clostridia; Lachnospirales; Lachnospiraceae. The record is from RNAcentral.